GUUGCCUCGGCGGAUCAGCCCGCUCCCGGUAAAACGGGACGGCCCGCCAGAGGACCCCUAAACUCUGUUUCUAUAUGUAACUUCUGAGUAAAACCAUAAAUAAAUCAAAACUUUCAACAACGGAUCUCUUGGUUCUGGCAUCGAUGAAGAACGCAGCAAAAUGCGAUAAGUAAUGUGAAUUGCAGAAUUCAGUGAAUCAUCGAAUCUUUGNACGCACAUUGCGCCCGCCAGUAUUCUGGCGGGCAUGCCUGUUCGAGCGUCAUUUCAACCCUCAAGCCCCCGGGUUUGGUGUUGGGGAUCGGCGAGCCCUUGCGGCAAGCCGGCCCCGAAAUCUAGUGGCGGUCUCGCUGCAGCUUCCAUUGCGUAGUAGUAAAACCCUCGCAACUGGUACGCGGCGCGGCCAAGCCGUUAAACCCCCAACUUCUGAAUGUUGAC
Molecule: ribosomal RNA, 435 nt
Filed under: Fusarium oxysporum
Lineage: Eukaryota; Fungi; Ascomycota; Sordariomycetes; Hypocreales; Nectriaceae
Description: eukaryotic LSU rRNA
Rfam family: 5.8S ribosomal RNA (bases 109-262)
Source: RNAcentral